Non-coding RNA from Podarcis lilfordi (Lilford's wall lizard), 79 nucleotides. The record is from the annotation of a GenBank genome assembly. Lineage: Eukaryota; Metazoa; Chordata; Lepidosauria; Squamata; Lacertidae.
GUCCCAGGUGGGAUAGCUCAGUCAGUAGUGCGUGAGACUCUUAGUCUCUGGUUCAUGGGUUUGAGCCCCAUUCUGGGCA